Strigops habroptila (Kakapo) is the source of this 2587-nucleotide long non-coding RNA. RefSeq lists it as uncharacterized. The transcript is spliced from 6 exons. NCBI's taxonomy places the organism in Eukaryota, Metazoa, Chordata, Aves, Psittaciformes, Psittacidae. The record is from RefSeq and is a predicted model, not a curated record.
GGGGUGCCCGGCUGGCGGGGGGGGCCCGCCGCGGGGAGGUGGCCCCGCAACCCGGGCGGAGGACGGCCGUGACCCCGGGGGGACGGCAGCGCUGCUGGGCGGCCGGCGCUGGGACAGGAGGAGUAGAGCUGCUCCUCGCAGGCUGACCGCGGCGGGUACAUCGCGUCAUGGUGGAAAGUGCCCUCUCGCCUCUGGCUGCCGUAAUAUUCCGGCGAGUGACUGGGAAGCUACAGAAGAACUAAUUGUCCCAUGUCUGAUGUAUGCCAUUAAAGUGAGAGAAACGAUGAAAAAUGCAAAGGAAAAUCCCCGCCUACCUGCACGAGUUUCCCUUUGUGUAUGGAAUGGACCCAAAUUUACGUAGAUCUGCUUUAUUGCUGGAAUUCCCGAUCCUUCUGAAGUGAGAACACAGCGGGGGUUUCCCUGCCGAGGGACUUAUUGCAGCCAUAAAGUCAAGCCAACACCACGAAAACACUUGAAAAACCCCCUUGUUCCUGGAGUCAGACAUAGAAAGCUAUUGGCAGCAGAGAAACCUCUCUUGUAAUGCUCAUGUACACCCAAUAUCACAUCGGAAAAAAGCCCCGACAGAGCCGUGCAGAGCUCCAGGGCUGGAGUAGCUAAAACAAUGACCCUGAAGGUGUAAAAAAAAUAUGAAAUACCCGCUUUCCCCGUGCAUAACCGCCUGAAAUUUAAUUUCCAGCAAUUUAAGUUUAAUUUACCUGACUUCCCGUGCAGUGCAUAAUAACCUGGUUAAUGGCAUCUUUGAAAAGAAGCAAUAAUAAUCUGCCAUUGUUCCAUUAAAGAGUGCAGCUAAUUAUUAACAACAACAAAUAAAAAAGGGGGGGGGGGUCGGGAGUGCAGAGGAGGAGAGGGGCAUUGGGGGAGUCAAACUGCAUCCAACCCAAGUAUUUCCGCGACAGCAAGUUCUGGGAAGAGGAAAGUAGAGGUAGAACAUUAGGAAAGCAGGGAAAAGGAGAGGAAAAAGAGAGAUGGAGCAUGUAAUGUGGAAAGCGAAUGCCGGGUGGUGCUGGGAGCUGCAGCAUGGAACAAGUUAAUCGUGGCUGUUGCUGGAGAGGAUGCCAGGAGGGGACCCGACCUGGAGCAGUGCGGACACUCCCGAUCCCUCCACCCCGAGGCGGGGUACAGACAUUUCUCGUUCAUCCCGGGCUGAAAUGGUUAAAAAAGACCUACCCGCAGUGAGAUGCGGGAUUUCCACAAGUGGUUGCCCACGCAGGAUGGGGAAAAAUAGGCAUAAAAGCGUUUUGGAGCAAGCUUCCUAAAUUAAAUUAAUUUUUAAUAUAUGUUUUUCUUACGAAUAGCAAAAGAAUAAAAAACAAAACGAACGCGAGGAGACUUAGGGAAAGAGAGAACAGGCGCUUGAACUGGUAUUCAGUUUUUUCUCCGUGAUUUAUGAAAAAUGUAACAGGUUCGGGAAGAAAUAGCUUUUUAAAAUGACUUUCUGUUUAUUAUUUCCGCGGCUUGCGAUCAUUUACUCUUGUCCACACAAUAUUCAGGCACAGACAGUUUAAGGCGAGAUAAAUCGUCACGUCAUAAAAUGGUUUAUGCUUAAGUAAUGAAUCUCUCCUUACUCAAUCUUGCUUCACUUACACAGGCUCCUACAUUAUCUUAUUUAAAAAUCACCUCGUAACAGUAGCAAUUAGUACAAUAUUUCAAUCCCUCCAUGAAAUCUUGGAAAUCAGAAAGAUUAAAACCCCCAUAUUUAAAAUCACGGGUAUCUCCAGACAACCCUUUUCCUAAACCCGAAGGCAAGCGUCAGGGUAUCACAGAGUGAUGGGAAACUUGCACAUAACCGGGUAUGUAAAAGCACCGCCAAGCCGUUGGGCUCAGACCCGAGCCGGUAUUCCGGCCGGGAAAGCCGUAAAACCCCAUUAACACCGCGGAACGCAAUUAAAUACACGGAGGUUUAUUGCAUCGCAACGUCAGCUUCAUUUGGGAGUUUCACAAGGGGGGGGUGGUGGAAAUACAAUGAGAGCGCUGCGCUCGGGGUUGGCUUCAUUCUUAUUAUCUUUUUUUUCUCCCCCCCCCCCCUUUUUUUGUCCCCCGCCUUUUUCUUUUUUUCUUUCUUUUUUCUUUUUUUAACUGAUUUCCAGACCCUUAUUUCCGAGGACGCCGCGAACUGCCCUCUCCGAAGAAACCACCCACAUAAUAAUGACCCUGGAGAGCAACGCAAAACCCAACUGGCUUCCACACAAACUUCGCCAAAUGACUGGGCUCGCCUGAGGAACAGGCGAACUGGCAAGAGCUUCUGCGAGGGGAGAAAAAAUAAACCACCACAACUGCCCACAAAGGGUUUGCUAUUUUUUUAAAGGCAGUAUCCAAAAGCCUCCAUCACCGAGCUACUGCAAAAUCCUUCAUUCCAAGUCUGCUAUCUUCAGAGACUUGAACAACGAAGAAAUCCAGGUAAAAAUAUACACAGAGAAAAGAGCAUAGCGAGGAGAAAAGAACCGCGGAGGUUGCAGGGAGAAGGAGUAACCAUCAUUCCUAUUAUGUACAGGACUCUAUAUGCUAAGUAGAAUUUGCAUUCAGACUUUUCAGGUCACAUUUUCUAAAUUAAAGGUGCUAAACACGA